Molecule: ribosomal RNA, 257 nt
Filed under: uncultured Eubacteriales bacterium
Lineage: Bacteria; Bacillati; Bacillota; Clostridia; Eubacteriales
Description: uncultured Clostridiales bacterium partial 16S ribosomal RNA
Rfam family: Bacterial small subunit ribosomal RNA
Source: RNAcentral
CCGGAAUCAUUGGGCGUAAAGGGUACGUAGGCGGUUAAAAAAGUUAGAAGUGAAAGGCUAUAGCUCAACUAUAGUAAGCUUUUAAAACUGUUUAACUUGAGAGAUGGAAGGGAAAGUGGAAUUCCUAGUGUAGCGGUGAAAUGCGCAGAUAUUAGGAGGAAUACCGGUGGCGAAGGCGACUUUCUGGCCAUUAUCUGACGCUGAGGUACGAAAGCGUGGGUAGCAAACAGGAUUAGAUACCCUGGUAGUCAAGGGCG